CCUACGGGCGACAGCAGUGAGGAAUAUUGCACAAUGGUGGGGACACUGAUGCAGCAAAGCCGCGUGAGGGAAGAAGGAUUUCGGUAUGGAAAACCCUAUCAGCCAGGGAACAAAUGACGGUACCUGAUUACGAAGCCCCGGCUAACUACGUACCAGCAGCCGCGGGAAUACGUAGGGGGCAAGCGUUAUCCGGAUUUACUGGGUGUAAAGGGGGCGCAGAGGGCAGUGCAAGUCUGGAGGGAAAGCCCGGGGCCCCACCCCGGAACUGCCCUGGAAACUGGGCGUCUAGAGUACUGGAGGGGCAGGCGGAAUUCCUAGUGUAGCGGUGAAAUGCGUAGAUAUUAGGAGGAACACCAGUUGCGAAGGCGGCCUGCUGGACAGUCACUGACGUUGAGGCUCGAAAGCGUGGGGAGCAAACAGGAUUAGAUACCCUAGUAGUC
RNAcentral lists this ribosomal RNA (440 nucleotides) under uncultured bacterium. RNAcentral describes it as "partial 16S ribosomal RNA". It matches the Rfam family "Bacterial small subunit ribosomal RNA", at positions 338 to 795 of the family's 1533-position model. The record is from RNAcentral.